AUCUUUCUAGUAUCAACCCUAGUAUUAGUGACUUCCAAUCACCAGGUCUUGGUUAAAACCCAAGGAAAGAUA
This 72-nucleotide transfer RNA is filed under the name Psenopsis anomala (melon seed). Its description in RNAcentral is "tRNA-Gly". Lineage: Eukaryota; Metazoa; Chordata; Actinopteri; Scombriformes; Centrolophidae. The record is from RNAcentral.